AUAUGGCGGCCACUGGAGUGAGAUAUGAUGAAGGGGCAUCUACUUUUACUUCCAAUUGUUUCCCUGUGCGGAGUUUUUACCGGCAGAACCUAGAUGGUGAUGGAGCCUGGCUGACAGCUUAUCAAGCCGAGCAACGAAAACGUUUCAAAGCAAUUCUGUGCAGUCGUCCCAAAACAUACUCGCAAAUUAGAGAGGAACGUAAAAGGUGCGAACGAGAGGGAACCAAGCUGACAGCUGACAAAUUCAAACAAGAUGAAGAAGAUGAUAUCCCCACUCUGGAUGGAUUCUUUUUGAUGAAACACUGCUGCGUAGAGGAUCCGUCCGAUCUGUGCUCUGUUAACAUCGCUGGCAAAGAAAUAUCAGAGGUCAAGGAAGAGGACUUUGCUCUCUUUGACAAUGUGGCUUACGUCAAUGCAGGGGAAAAUUACCUUCCCUUUGAGGCUUUCCGAGGAUUCCAGACUCUUCGAGAAUUGGAAAUGCCGCUGAAUGGUUUGAGAUGCUUGAAGAUUGAUCUGACAGACUUCCCUCAUCUUGAACUGUUAGACUUGUCCUACAACAAUCUGUCUCACGAAGAUGUGUUGCUGCUUGGGUUGCUUCAGAAUCUCAAAGUUCUGCAUCUGAGUGGCAACAAUUUCACCUCUCUACCAGCGGACAUGGCGUUACCGUAUAUAUCUCAAGAUAGAAAAUAUCGCCAGGCCAGAUAUCCUAAGCUUGAAAUAUUAAUGAUUGAUGACAAUAGGUUAUCGGACGUAACAGUAUUUGCAGCACUGGCUGGCUUACAGAGAUUGAAACAUCUGAACAUGGAGAAGAAUCUGGUGUAUUACGUCCCUCAGCUGAAAUCUGUAGAAGGGAAGGUCGUCACACAAGAAAGUAUACCACCAAAGAAGUUUUCAAAAUCCGCACGAAAGAGUGGCAGGUCAAGCCAGAGGUCAAGGUCGGCUGCUCACAAGGAUUCUGGGAAAAAGGCCACACCCACAAAUGCAGACGAAGGGAAGGUUUCAGAAGACACUAAAGAGGCAGAAAGUGAUAAAGCGCCAGUUGCAGUAACGGUCAUCAAAGAAGAUGUCACAGAUUCAGAACCACCACAACCGGUUAGUGAGGAAAACACUGGUGAUGAUCUUCUGAAUGCCGACCUCAGUUUAAAUCUGGGCAACAUCACGGAACGCAUGAACGCACUGCAAGGUAACAGCAGUGGCGACGUAUCGUAUCACGGUGGAGGAAUGGAGGAACUGCCUGCUAUGUCACUGUGUGCCUUUCCCGAACUCCGCUACAUCAGUCUGGCUUUCAACAAGAUUGAGGAUGAGGAGGGAUUACUGGCCGUGGCAGCGUGGCCAAUGUUGAUGGAGCUGGUGAUCCACGACAACCCUCUGACCACCGACAACUCAGGAGACCCGCCAUUACUGAAGAGAUUCCUUCAGGACAGACUGGGCAUCCAGAUUGUUAGGAAACUGAAAAAACCGAUACAGAAACCAGUCAUAGAUGUACCAGUGAAAAAACACAGAAAGGUGAGGGAUCAUGUCCCAAAGGUGCCACGCCCACCCCUCGAGGAACGUCUGAUGCUAAUGGGCCCUGAGCCACACCCACCAGCGAAGGUUGAAACGAAGGAGAGAAGUGACGUUUCAUCAGCAAACAUCCAAACCAGCAAACCCCUGCCUCCCAUCGGCACAAAACUGACGAAACCCGAAGACAAAGAGUCUGAACGUCCGACCGAAACAGCCUGGACGGAUGAGCAGACACAGGCCGUCAACGAACAGACACAGCCAUCCACCGAAGAUGCCUUUUUUAUGACCCAGGUAAAUGAACAAGAGGAGGAGACAACAGAACAAAAACAAGAGACCUCACAAGACAAGGGAGAGAAGCCAUCUAUGACUGUCGAUCGCUAUGAGGGCUACGAGGAAUUGCUCACCAUGGAUGACGUCGAGGUUGAAGAUGUCUGUCCUGCCAAAGAUAUUCAAGGCAAUCUUCGAGCUUUAAAACUUGCCCUGAACUAUCCGCUGGUGUACAGAGACCCUUCUGCAAGAUUAGACACAGUGCCGCGGCAAGUGAAGGAGUAUCGAAGGGUGCCAAUGCCUCCGCCACGUGCGAAAACGAAAGCCCAGAGGGUGAACGAAGUCCUUCACGAGUUGAAGACGCGCUCCACCGUGGACGAGGCGCCACUGUCUGAGGUGAUGUCUGGGGGAGACCCCGACAUGAGGAAACAAUUCCCUGAGGCAGAGAACCUUCUGGCCGAGAUACAAAGCUGCUACAAUACGGUGAGAGUGGAUUCCAUGAAGCACGCUCGACACACCCGUAAAGUGGUGGGCCAUGUUCUCGAGUCGGUGAAGAGCAGUGGAGUUAAACUGGCCAAGCUGGCCAACGAGCAAGUAACGUCGUGAUACGUUGGCGAAACACGAAAUCAUCACCUGUUAUAUUUGUGAACUGUAGAUUCAUACAGCUGUGCUUUCUCCCCAGCAUUUUGGCAUAAAAGCAGGACCUAAAAAUUGUAAUUCUGGUGUGACUGAAAUUCUUAUUGUGUAAACAUUUCAUUAUUUUGAUUACAAUUUCUACCCGUUUUUGACAGCAUCGAACUGCCUACAUUCAGGUGUAAGUGGAAGUGAACAGAUUGUCAUAAACUGGUAAAA
RNAcentral lists this unclassified non-coding RNA (2621 nucleotides) under Gigantopelta aegis. Its description in RNAcentral is "x-ray radiation resistance-associated protein 1-like, transcript variant X1". Lineage: Eukaryota; Metazoa; Mollusca; Gastropoda; Neomphalida; Peltospiridae. The record is from RNAcentral.